GGGACCUGAUGCAGCCAUGCCGCGUGUGUGAAGAAGGCCUUCGGGUUGUAAAGCACUUUCAGUUGUGAGGAAAAGUUAGUAGUUAAUACCUGCUAGCCGUGACGUUAACAACAGAAGAAGCACCGGCUAACUCCGUGCCAGCAGCCGCGGUAAUACGGAGGGUGCGAGCGUUAAUCGGAAUUACUGGGCGUAAAGCGCACGCAGGCGGUUUGUUAAGCUAGAUGUGAAAGCCCCGGGCUCAACCUGGGAURGUCAUUUAGAACUGGCAGACUAGAGUCUUGGAGAGGGGAGUGGAAUUCCAGGUGUAGCGGUGAAAUGCGUAGAUAUCUGGAGGAACAUCAGUGGCGAAGGCGACUCCCUGGCCAAAGACUGACGCUCAUGUGCGAAAGUGUGGGUAGCGAACAGGAUUAGAUACCCUGGUAGUCCACACCGUAAACGCUGUCUACUAGCUGUUUGUGACUUUAAGUCGUGAGUAGCGAAGCUAACGCGCUAAGUAGACCGCCYGGGGAGUACGGCCGCAAGGUUAAAACUCAAAUG
Molecule: ribosomal RNA, 537 nt
Filed under: Alteromonas sp.
Lineage: Bacteria; Pseudomonadati; Pseudomonadota; Gammaproteobacteria; Alteromonadales; Alteromonadaceae
Description: bacterial SSU rRNA
Rfam family: Bacterial small subunit ribosomal RNA
Source: RNAcentral